This 378-nucleotide unclassified non-coding RNA is filed under the name uncultured Rickettsiales bacterium. RNAcentral's name for it is "contains 16S-23S intergenic spacer region". Lineage: Bacteria; Pseudomonadati; Pseudomonadota; Alphaproteobacteria; Rickettsiales. The record is from RNAcentral.
UCCGGCUUACCACCGGCAGUUUCCUUAGAGUAGCCCAACUUAAUGAUGGCAACUAAGGAUGAGGGUUGCGCUCGUUGCGGGACUUAACCCAACAUCUCACGACACGAGCUGACGACAGCCAUGCAGCACCUGUGUGGUAGCCAGCCGAACUGAAGGAGAACAUUUCUGCUCCCCAAACUACCCAUGUCAAGGCCUGGUAAGGUUCUUCGCGUUGCCUCGAAUUAAACCACAUGCUCCACCGCUUGUGCGGGUCCCCGUCAAUUCCUUUGAGUUUUAAUCUUGCGACCGUACUCCCCAGGCGGGAUGCUUAACGCGUUAGCUGCGCCACUGAGACGUGAGUCCCAACGGCUAGCAUCCAUCGUUUACGGCGUGGACUAC